Molecule: long non-coding RNA, 638 nt
Organism: Fukomys damarensis (Damara mole-rat)
Lineage: Eukaryota; Metazoa; Chordata; Mammalia; Rodentia; Bathyergidae
Exons: 3
Source: RefSeq, a predicted model, not a curated record
AGGAAAUGGCAUUCUGCAUAGACGUGAGCAAAUUCAUCUCUUUCCAGUUGCUUUUCACAUGCAGAAACUGGGUGACGUGACGGGGAGCACUGUGUCCACUGCAUGCCUUUGAUGUCCAGUUCCCCUCAGGGUCCGCAGUGUCGCUGACAUCACGUGAAGCAUUGGGUCACCUUUGCACAGGCAGCUGCAGGCUCUGGCCACAUGGGCACCUUUGGACCUCACGCCAAAUAGGAGUCUCGGUGGAACUCGGCCCAAGAAUCUGCAUUUAAGCCAGGAUCACAGAGAUUAUGAAGCAAAGGCCGCUGAAGCUGAAAAAGACCACGCUUCGGGAAUCACUGGACACUGUUUUCUCCCCCUGAGGCCUUGCCUCACCCCUGGUGCCACAUUCUGCCUCUCCGGCUCUGUUUCCCACUUCACUGUCACAUUCAAUGGAACAGACCGUGUUGCCUGACCAACCUGUCACCCAUCCCAAGCUUAACAUGAACCUCACUGUAGUACCAUCUCAGUACUCACGGCACCGAGCAGAGCACCACGUCUACCUUCUCUGCGGACACCUGCUCCAAGGCCCUGUCCUUGUCACCUUGAUACUAGCACCAGAGGCCUAACUUGGUCCUCCCUGGCCCUGCACAGCACCUCUA